This 442-nucleotide ribosomal RNA is filed under the name uncultured bacterium. RNAcentral describes it as "SSU rRNA". It matches the Rfam family "Bacterial small subunit ribosomal RNA", at positions 26 to 518 of the family's 1533-position model. The record is from RNAcentral.
AGAACGAACGCUGGCGGCAGGCUUAACACAUGCAAGUCGAGCGCCCCGCAAGGGGAGCGGCAGACGGGUGAGUAACGCGUGGGAACAUACCCUCCGGUUCGGAAUAGCUCAGGGAAACUUGGAUUAAUACCGGAUACGGCCUAGCGGCGAAAGAUUGAUCGCCGGAGGAUUGGCCCGCGUCUGAUUAGCUAGUUGGUGGGGUAAUGGCCCACCAAGGCGACGAUCAGUAGCUGGUCUGAGAGGAUGAUCAGCCACAUUGGGACUGAGACACGGCCCAAACUCCUACGGGAGGCAGCAGUGGGGAAUAUGGACAAUGGGCGCAAGCCUGAUCCAGCCAUGCCGCGUGAGUGAUGACGGCCUUAGGGUUGUAAAGCUCUUUCGCUAGGGACGAUAAUGACGGUACCUAGACAAGAAGCCCCGCUAACUUCGCGCCAGCAGCCGC